This 484-nucleotide ribosomal RNA is filed under the name uncultured bacterium. RNAcentral's name for it is "partial 16S ribosomal RNA". It matches the Rfam family "Bacterial small subunit ribosomal RNA", at positions 29 to 507 of the family's 1533-position model. The record is from RNAcentral.
AUUGAACGCUGGCGGCAUGCUUUACACAUGCAAGUCGAACGGCGGCGCGGGCUUCGGCCUGGCGGCGAGUGGCGAACGGGUGAGUAAUACAUCGGAACGUGCCCAGUAGUGGGGGAUAGCUCGGCGAAAGCCGGAUUAAUACCGCAUACGACCUGAGGGUGAAAGCGGGGGAUCUUCGGACCUCGCGCUAUUGGAGCGGCCGAUGGCAGAUUAGCUAGUUGGUGGGGUAAAGGCCUACCGAGGCGACGACCUGUAGCUGGUCUGAGAGGACGACCAGCCACACUGGGACUGAGACACGGCCCAGACUCCUACGGGAGGCAGCAGUGGGGAAUUUUGGACAAUGGGCGAAAGCCUGAUCCAGCAAUGCCGCGUGUGUGAUGAAGGCCUUCGGGUUGUAAAGCACUUUUGGCGGGAACGAAAAGGACUGUGCCAAUACCACGGUUCGAUGACGGUACCCGCAGAAUAAGCACCGGCUAACUACGUG